RNAcentral lists this ribosomal RNA (420 nucleotides) under uncultured bacterium. Its description in RNAcentral is "bacterial SSU rRNA". It matches the Rfam family "Bacterial small subunit ribosomal RNA", at positions 353 to 770 of the family's 1533-position model. The record is from RNAcentral.
AGUGAGGAAUAUUGGUCAAUGGGUGCAAGCCUGAACCAGCCAUCCCGCGUGAAGGACGACUGCCCUAUGGGUCGUAAACUUCUUUUGUGUAGGGAUACACCUACCCUCGUGAGGGUAGCUGAAGGUACUAUACGAAUAAGCACCGGCUAACUCCGUCCCAGCAGCCGCGGUAAUACGGAGGGUGCAAGCGUUAUCCGGAUUUAUUGGGUUUAAAGGGUCCGUAGGCGGACUUAUAAGUCAGUGGUGAAAGCCUGUCGCUUAACGAUAGAACUGCCAUUGAUACUGUAAGUCUUGAGUAUAUUUGAGGUAGCUGGAAUAAGUAGUGUAGCGGUGAAAUGCAUAGAUAUUACUUAGAACGCCAAGUGCGAAGGCAGGUUACCAAGAUAUAACUGACGCUGAGGGACGAAAGCGUGGGGAGCG